GUGUCAGCCGCCGCGGUAAUACGUAGGGUGCGAGCGUUAAUCGGAAUUACUGGGCGUAAAGCGUGCGCAGGCGGUUCUCCAAGUCCGUUGUGAAAGCCCCGGGCUCAACCUGGGAAUGGCAGUGGAAACUAGGGGACUGGAAUCUGGCAGAGGGGGGUGGAAUGCCGCGUGUAGCAGUGAAAUGCGUAGAGAUGCGGCGGAACACCGAUGGCGAAGGCAGCCCCCUGGGCUGAGAUUGACGCUCAGGCACGAAAGCGUGGGGAGCAAACAGGAUUAGAUACCCUCGUAGUCC
This 292-nucleotide ribosomal RNA is filed under the name uncultured bacterium. RNAcentral's name for it is "partial 16S ribosomal RNA". It matches the Rfam family "Bacterial small subunit ribosomal RNA", at positions 505 to 796 of the family's 1533-position model. The record is from RNAcentral.